This 1554-nucleotide long non-coding RNA is filed under the name Anas platyrhynchos platyrhynchos (common mallard). RNAcentral's name for it is "lncRNA (ENSAPLG00000026097.1)". Lineage: Eukaryota; Metazoa; Chordata; Aves; Anseriformes; Anatidae. The record is from RNAcentral.
UUCUACGAAGAAGACCAAGACACUAUCUGUGGCAGGGUCAUAAAUUUUUAUUUGUAUGACAACCAUGUGUACCCUGCUAAAGGCGCGGGGGCCUCUUGCAGGGCUGGGGAGAGUCUGGGUUGCUGUCGGCCCUCCUCUUCCUCCUCCGCCGGGGCCCCCCAGGUGAGCUGUCCCUGCCCUGGCCAGGAGGUGAGGGCUCGUGGCUGCAGCCCGGCACCACGGCAUCUUCUUCUGCCACCUCUCGUGGCUCUGAGAAGGGCUCCUCCAGAUCCCCGGGGAUGGGUGCGGUGGGCAGAUGGCCAGGACCCCCAGGUAGGGUGGCACUGGAGGUGCUGGGCAGCUCCUCGACGUCAGAAUCCUCCGGGCUGCUGGCAGGAGUGUCCCGGGGGGAGGCAGCAGGGCUGGGGGUGCCUCAGGGCUGUCUUCUGGCUCCCAGGUGUCUUGGGAGCCCUCGAGGUCCACCUCAGGGCCAUUGUACUGCAGGCUGGCAGGACGGGGUUCGAGGAAUCCCAGGUGCUCCAGGUACUCCUCGCUGCACGUCUGCAGCAUGAUGGAGAUGAGCUGCUGCACAAAGCUCACCGUGUGGCCCUGCAGCAACGGCCGCAGCUCCUGCACCAAGGCCUGCUCAUCCAGCCCGCAGCGGCACAGCCAGGCGAUGACGGUGGCCUCCAGCAUGUCCUGGUCCCACCAGGCAGCGUCGAACAGCUCCCUGGCUUGCUGGCGCACCCAGGAGCGCAGCGGACCGAGGACUUCCAGGUGUUCCCUGAAGAGGGCCGCCCAUUCCUCAGGCAGGAGGCCUCCCACGGCAGGCUGAGGCACCAGCUCCGCAGCCCCCUGCUCGUCCUGCUGGCUGUCAGCUUGGGCCUCUGCGUCAGGGGAAAGCUGCACCUCCAGGAAGUCGUCUUCCGCCCAGAUGGAGUAGCGGAUGGAGGUGAUGCGCUGCCUGCAGAGGGGGCAGGUACUGCUUCUCUCGGCCCAGCGCAUGAUGCACCCGAAGCAGAAGCGGUGCAGACAGGGGAGGACGUAGCUGGGCUCCUUGGGGGCCCCCUGGCACACAGGGCAGGUGACGUCCUUGGCCUCACUGGCCAUGGCGUUGGCUCGCUGCAGCGGGCUGGGAAGAGCUGCAGAUGGGGAGCUGCUUCCCCUGGCUGGCGCCGCUGCCACAGGUGCUGUGUACUGCAAGAAGGAGAGAGGCCAGGGUCAGUGGCUGUGCCGGAGCGGGCAGCGGCAGUGCCCCGGCCCCUCAGCAGGACAAAACCCCAACGCAAGCCCCGGGGCACGUGUCCCCGCACAGCUCACCUGCACUGCUGCGAGCGCUCCCCGCACAGCCCCGGCUGCCUGAGCCAGGCAGGGCCGGGGAAACGCAGGCACUGGCUGCGGGGACGGGCACUGAGAGCAGCUGCCGACGGCCCCACAGCACAGCUCCAACAACUCCUCUCAACAAAUCCUUGCUUGGCACUCCAAGCCUCGCACACACGCUCAGCGGGAGUCCAGGCACGAGCCAGGCUGGGCCAGGCUCUGACGGCGCCCCAAGAUAAGCAGCGAGGCCUGUGA